AAAGAGGAGCAGCUGUACCUCUCGUCCUGUUUGAUGUGACGUCUCUGAAGACGAUCUGUCCAUAACUGACGUCUUCUGGUCUCCUCACUCCUGAGUAGACUACAGCUGGAUCACUCUCUGUCAAAUAAAAUACAGGACACUUACAGUACUGCAGUGAGACGUUUGCACGUCAGGACUCGGCCGUGUGUUUUUAUCAGGAAGACGAAACUGGACGACCACAGAGCUGUUGAACCCACAAGGUCACGUGAUGUUUUGACAUCACUGUAUGUGACGUCAUCAUCUCCAACGUCUACGUCAGCAGCUGAAAGGAACCAGGAUGAACAGAACAUUUAAAUCAGUUUCAAUCAUAAAACAGAAAUGUAAACUUCAUCUGCUGA
Molecule: long non-coding RNA, 377 nt
Organism: Sebastes umbrosus (honeycomb rockfish)
Lineage: Eukaryota; Metazoa; Chordata; Actinopteri; Perciformes; Sebastidae
Exons: 3
Source: RefSeq, a predicted model, not a curated record